Molecule: ribosomal RNA, 433 nt
Filed under: uncultured bacterium
Lineage: Bacteria
Description: partial 16S ribosomal RNA
Rfam family: Bacterial small subunit ribosomal RNA
Source: RNAcentral
AGCGAACGCUGGCGGCAGGCUUAACACAUGCAAGUCGAGCGGGCACUUCGGUGUCAGCGGCAGACGGGUGAGUAACACGUGGGAACGUACCCUUUGGUUCGGAAUAACGCUGGGAAACUAGCGCUAAUACCGGAUACGCCCUUUUGGGGAAAGGCUUGCUGCCGAAGGAUCGGCCCGCGUCUGAUUAGCUAGUUGGUGGGGUAAUGGCCUACCAAGGCGACGAUCAGUAGCUGGUCUGAGAGGAUGAUCAGCCACACUGGGACUGAGACACGGCCCAGACUCCUACGGGAGGCAGCAGUGGGGAAUAUUGGACCAUGGGCGCAAGCCUGAUCCAGCCAUGCCGCGUGAGUGAUGAAGGCCUUAGGGUUGUAAAGCUCUUUUGUCCGGGACGAUAAUGACGGUACCGGAAGAAUAAGCCCCGGCUAACUUCGUG